RNAcentral lists this ribosomal RNA (1069 nucleotides) under uncultured bacterium. RNAcentral describes it as "bacterial SSU rRNA". It matches the Rfam family "Bacterial small subunit ribosomal RNA", at positions 334 to 1404 of the family's 1533-position model. The record is from RNAcentral.
GACUCCUACGGGAGGCAGCAGUGAGGAAUAUUGGACAAUGGAGGCAACUCUGAUCCAGCCAUGCCGCGUGAAGGACGAAGGCCCUAUGGGUCGUAAACUUCUUUUGUCGUAGAGCAAUAAGGUGUACGUGUACAUCGAUGAGAGUAUACGACGAAUAAGCAUCGGCUAACUCCGUGCCAGCAGCCGCGGUAAUACGGAGGAUGCAAGCGUUAUCCGGAUUUAUUGGGUUUAAAGGGUGCGUAGGCGGACGUAUAAGUCAGCGGUGAAAGGUACCGGCUCAACCGGUGAGCUGCCGUUGAAACUGUGCGACUGGAAUGCGGAUGCCGUGGGAGGAAUGUGUGGUGUAGCGGUGAAAUGCUUAGAUAUCACACAGAACACCGAUUGCGAAGGCAUCUCACGAAUCCGUUAUUGACGCUGAGGCACGAAGGCGUGGGGAUCAAACAGGAUUAGAUACCCUGGUAGUCCACGCGGUAAACGAUGAUGGCUAACUGCCGGCGAUACAUUGUCGGUGGCCAAGCGAAAGCGAUAAGCCAUCCACCUGGGGAGUACGACCGCAAGGUUGAAACUCAAAGGAAUUGACGGGGGCCCGCACAAGCGGAGGAACAUGUGGUUUAAUUCGAUGAUACGCGAGGAACCUUACCCGGGCUCGAACGGCUGAGGAAUGAAUUAGAGAUAGUUCAGUCCGCAAGGACUUCAGUCGAGGUGCUGCAUGGUUGUCGUCAGCUCGUGCCGUGAGGUGUCGGCUCAAGUGCCAUAACGAGCGCAACCCUUGUCGUCAGUUACCAUCAAGUAAAGUUGGGGACUCUGGCGAGACUGCCACCGCAAGGUGAGAGGAAGGGGGGGAUGACGUCAAAUCAGCACGGCCCUUACGUCCGGGGCGACACACGUGUUACAAUGGUGGGUACAGAGGGAGGCUACCUGGUGACAGGAUGCGGAACCCGAAAACCCAUCUCAGUUCGGAUUGGAGUCUGCAACUCGACUCCAUGAAGCUGGAUUCGCUAGUAAUCGCGCAUCAGCCAUGGCGCGGUGAAUACGUUCCCGGGCCUUGUACACACCGCCCGUCAAGCCA